CUGAAACCCGGGAAAAUUGUAAUUAAAAAAAAAAAAAAAAAAAAAAAAAGAAAAAAAACAAGAAAAUAUCUGAUUCUCUCAGCCUCCCUCAAUCUCUUUCAUAUUUUUAAGUUCUAACCCUAACUCCCUAAGCCCAAACUGAUUCUCUCCGCCUCCCUCAAUCUCAACUUCUCAACGCGGCUGUCCGGCUGUCCCAACUCGCUCCGGCCACCGCCCACUGCCGACACCUCCCUCAUUCUCUCAGGCAAUGCACACCGAUAAUAUCUGAUGGUUCAAGCGUUACUUUGCACACAAGAUUGGCUUAGAGCUAAGGAAGUGGCAAUUGUUGAUGUGGAAGAAAAUUUGAAAGAGUUAGAGGAAAUAGAGAAAGAGGUGCAACGUGGUGAAUCUAACGAUGUAGACGAUGAAGUUGUUUUCGUGGACUCAUUAGUGUGAAUCACGCGAUCAAAGGGAAAACAACUCGUUGGAGAAUUUAUGUAUUCCUAGUACUUGAGAGUUGAGACUUAAGAGAAUUUAUGUAAUUUUAUGAGUUUUCGUGGACUUAUUUGUAUUUUCGGUGGACUCAUUUGUAUUUUUGGUGU
Chenopodium quinoa (quinoa) is the source of this 581-nucleotide long non-coding RNA. RefSeq lists it as uncharacterized. NCBI's taxonomy places the organism in Eukaryota, Viridiplantae, Streptophyta, Magnoliopsida, Caryophyllales, Amaranthaceae. The transcript is spliced from 3 exons. The record is from RefSeq and is a predicted model, not a curated record.